Non-coding RNA from Schistosoma margrebowiei, 45 nucleotides. NCBI's taxonomy places the organism in Eukaryota, Metazoa, Platyhelminthes, Trematoda, Strigeidida, Schistosomatidae. The record is from Rfam.
AUCCAGCUGAUGAGUUCCAAAUAAAACGAAACACGCGUCCUGCAU